Molecule: microRNA precursor, 91 nt
Organism: Medicago truncatula (barrel medic)
Lineage: Eukaryota; Viridiplantae; Streptophyta; Magnoliopsida; Fabales; Fabaceae
Rfam family: MIR2617 microRNA precursor family
Source: Rfam
AUGUAGUGUGACAUGCCCGUUGGAUUUUACUCUGAUGUUGUGUGUUUAAUUAUUAUUUAAUUACUUUUGGGUAACGGGGUGUCACAUGAUA